Molecule: small nuclear RNA, 189 nt
Organism: Camelus dromedarius (Arabian camel)
Lineage: Eukaryota; Metazoa; Chordata; Mammalia; Artiodactyla; Camelidae
Gene: U2
Rfam family: U2 spliceosomal RNA
About the family: U2 is a small nuclear RNA (snRNA) component of the spliceosome (involved in pre-mRNA splicing). Complementary binding between U2 snRNA (in an area lying towards the 5' end but 3' to hairpin I) and the branchpoint sequence (BPS) of the intron results the bulging out of an unpaired adenosine, on the BPS, which initiates a nucleophilic attack at the intronic 5' splice site, thus starting the first of two transesterification reactions that mediate splicing.
Source: Ensembl
AUCACUUCUCGGCCUUUUGGCUAAGGUCAAGUGUAGUAUAUGUUCUAAUCAGAUUGAUAUCUGCCACGUCCUCUAUCUGAACACAGUAUUAAAUGGAUUUCUGGAGCAGGGAGUUGGAAUAGGAGCUUGCUCUGUCCACUCCGUGCACUGACCUGGUACUGCAGUACCUCCAGGAGCAAUGCCCCAAAA